This is a long non-coding RNA of Oncorhynchus gorbuscha (pink salmon), 3029 nucleotides long. RefSeq lists it as uncharacterized. The record is from RefSeq and is a predicted model, not a curated record. The transcript is spliced from 3 exons. NCBI's taxonomy places the organism in Eukaryota, Metazoa, Chordata, Actinopteri, Salmoniformes, Salmonidae.
AUAGAUAGACAGUCUAGAAAUGUUUAAACUAUUUACAUGUGUUUGGUAAGCUUGCAUUACAUUCCCCCUGUCACAUGGGGAUCUAUGGUUGAUUCUAGAUGAAAUAGUCAACUCUGUUACAGUCAACCCUGUCACUUUAUUUGGCACUUAAUAGGCACUUGCUAUAGUAUGUAUUUGUUACUUUUGAGAUGGGAAAACAUGUUUUAUAUUAAGUUGAACAUGUGCUAUUUAUGACAGAAUAUUAUAAUUAGGUGAAAUAAAAGUUACACUCCCCAAAAGGUACUCAAUUGGUGGAAUGACCCGAGUACUGAACUGGAGGUGGGAGAGCUAACGAUGCGUCUACUGUUGCUCUCUCCUCAGACUCUUAGAGAAGCUAUUUCAAUCUGAUAUUUCUCCUAUGGUCUAAAAUAGAUGUGUAUAGAGGACUCCUCUCUAAUAUAACAUGUCACACAUUGUAUCAAACUGAUGGAAUGUUAGGUGUCUCAUUGAAAGUCUAACAUCUACCAUGACUACUGGAUGUUUCAAUUCUAAUAAAUAACAAAACAAUCCACACCGUAACAACAAUAUUGUUUUUUUACUAAAUGCUUUUAUUAAAGAAUAAAACUUUGCUAACAAAAAUGACAUCAUCAAACAUCACUGGCCUGACUUGAGCAGCUCUGCCCGGGGAUGGAGCCAGCAACUUAGCUGCUACCGGUCCGGUCCAGGCUACCUGCAGACCUCCUCCCAGACCUCCUUUUCAGCACCUCCCCUUAACAGGAGAAGUGGUGGAAAUGAUCAGAGUUGCAUUCAACUAGAAUAAAGAUGAGAAACUCUGGUCUGUGGAGCCACUGGUCUGAGGGGAGGACUUCUGUUGAAACCAUUUCCAUUUUUGGGAUAUUUUCUAGGACUGUAGAGGUGGUAAGCAGAGAUGAAUUUAACUAGGAUACAGAUGAGAGUCUCUGUUCUUGGGAGGAGGGUCACUGACCUUCAAUGGUUUGUUGCCUGAUAAUGAGGAUACUUGCUGGCUUGAGGAGACUAUAAUGUUUUGAGGAGGAAAUGUGGCUCGAUGACUUAAAGAGGAGGAGGAAUUAUUGGGCGACACUUUUAAUUACCAACGUAACCUCAGUGGAACUGUGGCUUCAUUGAGUUCCAGCUCUAGGCAGACAGCACGUCAGGAAUGCUGUAAGACAUCACAGAGACAGAUGCUUGGCUUUUUCUUUGUCUUUGUGUUGGAGAUUGGCUCUGAUGUGUCAGCCUCUUCUGGAGCUUCUAGCUGCUGGCUGUCUGGCCCCCCCUGAUGGUUCUCUGGCCCCUCCUGCCUGUUCUCUGAACUCUCCUCCUGGUUCUCUGCCCAUGCCUGUUGCCUCCUUGGCCCCUCUUGCUGGCCAUCUCCAGAUGCAACAGGCUCUUGGCUUACUUGUUGGCCUGUCGCCCACCCCGGCAAUUCCUGACCUUGGUUGUAGUCGUGGCUGUGUUGGGUGGUUGGACACCGGGUGAUGUACUGGGUGCUGAACUUCUGGAUUUGCUCAUCAGCCUCCAGAUUAAUCUGCUCCAGGUUUGUGGUUCCAGGCCAGUCUUGGUCGCUGCUCCUCCAUGACUUUCUGCCAUAGCCUCAAUCUCUCAAUCUCUUGCUUCAUUUUAAAAGGUAAAAUUAGUGAUAAUCUAUUACCAAGACAUACUUUCAAAGGAUUUGCAGAGAAUGAUACACAGAAAUACAACCUAGAGCUAGGUAAUUGAAUCAAACACUGGACAACAUCAAUAGCAGGGUCAUGUUGAUCAAUUCAUCUGGACAAUUCAUUGUCAAUUAAUGUAUUGACAUGGUUUGUAAAAAUUAUGAGACAAAAAAUUAUGAGAAAUUAUGAGACAGGAAAGGAAUAAAAGUUAACAUUAGGUUAGCGUACCGCUGUCUGCCACUAUUCAUUUUCAGCUGGGUAAAUAUACACUGCCUUUUAAUAAUAACAAUGACAUGUCUUACGUGGGCCAGUUGUAGGUCCACCAUCAGUAGAUCCAGCAGUUGUUUGAGUCUGUGGAUCUCCUGCAGUUUUCUCUGGUUCUCCAUUGCUUCUGUGGCUCUCUCUGCUUCUCUCUGUCUCUCUGCUUCUCUCUGUCUCUCUGCCUCCCUCUGUCUCUCUGCCUCCCUCUCUCUCUCUCCCUCCCUCUGUCUCUCUGCUUCUCUCUGUCUCUCUGCUUCUCUCUGUCUCUCUGCUUCUCCCUGUCUCUCUGCCUCUCUCUGGCUCUCUGCCUCCCCUCUGGCUCUCUGCCUCCCUCUGGCUCUCUGCCUCCCUCAGUCUCAGGAUCUCAGCCUUCCACUCUUUCAUUAAACCCCUUUCAACUCUUCUUCUCCUCCUUUCAUCUUUUAAAAGGGCUCGGAGAUGGUCUGUCUCAGACUGUAAUUCUUCAAUGAUCUUGUCUUUCUCCGUUCCACCAUUCCUCUUCUUCUUUUCCUCCUCCCAGAGACACACUUGAAGUCUGUCCAUCUCCUUCUUCUGGUUUCGGAUCGUUCGAUCCUUCCCCAUCAACUCAAGCAUGUGGGCUUCCUUCUCUGUAUAGGUCUUCUUCUCUUCUCUCAGGAAGUGAACCUCCAUCUCUGCCUGCUUGUAGCUGGGAGCAAAGGAAUGUCAACACAUUAUUUAGGAAGUGAACUCAGACAAUUUACUACAAUAUUACAAUAAUAAUUCAACUUCUGCUCAAUUUAACUGUCUUUAAUAACACAAAUCACACAACUGUGACUUACAAUAUGUGAAUGUGAUGAGUUGACUGUCCAUGAUGGCCAGAGGUGGGUAAUGUGUAGCUCUGGUCCAGGGCGUUACGUACAGCUUGCAGACACUGAGCCUUCCUUCAGCAAGCCGCACAUAAUGCCCUGGACCAGAGCUAGGUUAUGUGAUGAAUGACUUACAGACUGUUCCAUAUGAUAGGAGGGGGUAAGAAGACAGUCCCAGUAGGAGACGGAGAUCGUCCAGAAGAAGAAGAGCUGUCCAUCUCCUCAGAGACUGCAGGAAAGGUCUACAAGUUUUAUUUCUGGAAAAUAAAGAGAUGCCUUCGUUCAGCAA